RNAcentral lists this ribosomal RNA (811 nucleotides) under uncultured Bacillota bacterium. RNAcentral's name for it is "bacterial SSU rRNA". It matches the Rfam family "Bacterial small subunit ribosomal RNA", at positions 70 to 858 of the family's 1533-position model. The record is from RNAcentral. Lineage: Bacteria; Bacillati; Bacillota.
AAAGUUCCCUUCGGGGGGCGAGUAGAGUGGCGCACGGGUGAGUAACACGUAGGUAAUCUACCUUCGGAUGGGGAAUAACAACCGGAAACGGUUGCUAAUACCGCAUAAUGCAGCGGCACCUAAUGGUGACAGUUGUUAAAGCGGGGGAUCGAAAGACCUCGCGUCUGAAGAGGAGCCUGCGGCAGAUUAGCUAGUUGGUAAGGUAACGGCUUACCAAGGCGAUGAUCUGUAGCCGGCCUGAGAGGGCGGUCGGCCACACUGACACUGACAUACGGGUCAGACUCCUACGGGAGGCAGCAGUCGGGAAUUUUGGGCAAUGGGCGAAAGCCUGACCCAGCAACGCCGCGUGAAGGAUGAAAUCCUUCGGGAUGUAAACUUCGCAAGAACGGGAAGAAUAAGCCGGUGUUAACAUCACCGGUGAUGACGGUACUGUUUGUAAGCUCCGGCUAACUCCGUGCCAGCAGCCGCGGUGAUACGGGGGGAGCAAGCGUUGUUCGGAUUUACUGGGCGUAAAGGGCGCGUAGGCGGCCACCGCAAGUCACUUGUGAAAUCUCCGGGCUUAACCCGGAAAGGUCAACUGAUACUGCGGGGCUAGAGUGCAGAAGGGGCAACUGGAAUUCUCGGUGUAGCGGUGAAAUGCGUAGAUAUCGAGAGGAACACCUGCGGCGAAGGCGGGUUGCUGGGCUGACACUGACGCUGAUGUGCGAAAGCUAGGGGAGCGAACGGGAUUAGAUACCCCGGUAGUCCUAGCCUUAAACGAUGAAUGCUUGGUGUCUGGGGUUUUAUAGUCCCCGGGUGCCGUCGCUAACGC